Tricholoma furcatifolium is the source of this 119-nucleotide non-coding RNA. NCBI's taxonomy places the organism in Eukaryota, Fungi, Basidiomycota, Agaricomycetes, Agaricales, Tricholomataceae. The record is from the annotation of a GenBank genome assembly.
GGCCACCUAGCUCAGCGGUAGAGCACCGCACACACUUGCCAGGCCCGCGGCGCCUAUGUUCGUAGGCGCCCUGAGUCUGGUGCUUUGCGGAGGGUCGGGUUCGAGUCCCGAGGUAGCCG